Molecule: ribosomal RNA, 261 nt
Filed under: uncultured archaeon
Lineage: Archaea
Description: partial 16S ribosomal RNA
Rfam family: Archaeal small subunit ribosomal RNA
Source: RNAcentral
AGGGUGUAAACGCUGCAGACUUGGUGUUGGAGGCCCUUUGGGGGCAUUCAGUGCCGGAGAGAAGUUGUUAAGUCUGCUACUUGGGGAGUACGUCCGCAAGGAUGAAACUUAAAGGAAUUGGCGGGGGAGCACCGCAACGGGAGGAGCGUGCGGUUUAAUUGGAUUCAACACCGUAAACUCACCAGGGAAGACUGUUACAUGAAGGCCGAGAUGAAGACUCUGCUAGAUUUUCAGAGAGGAGGUGCAUGGCCGUCAGUGACU